This 493-nucleotide ribosomal RNA is filed under the name uncultured bacterium. RNAcentral's name for it is "partial 16S ribosomal RNA". It matches the Rfam family "Bacterial small subunit ribosomal RNA", at positions 355 to 866 of the family's 1533-position model. The record is from RNAcentral.
UGGGGAAUAUUGGACAAUGGGGGCAACCCUGAUCCAGCCAUGCCGCGUGAGUGAUGAAGGCCUUCGGGUUGUAAAGCUCUUUUGGCGGGGACGAUGAUGACGGUACCCGCAGAAUAAGCCCCGACUAACUUCGUGCCAGCAGCCGCGGUAAGACGAAGGGGGCUAGCGUUGUUCGGAAUUACUGGGCGUAAAGCGAGUGUAGGCGGUUGCCGUAGUCAGGUGUGAAAGCCUUGAGCUCAACUCAAGAAAUGCACUUGAUACUGGGUGACUAGAGGACCGGAGAGGAUAGUGGAAUUCCCAGUGUAGUGGUGAAAUACGUAGAGAUUGGGAAGAACACCAGUGGCGAAGGCGGCUAUCUGGACGGUUACUGACGCUAAGACUCGAAAGCGUGGGGAGCAAACAGGAUUAGAUACCCUGGUAGUCCACGCCGUAAACGAUGGGUGCUAGACGUUGGCGAGCUUGCUCGUCAGUGUCGCAGCUAACGCGUUAAGCA